AGAGUUUGAUCAUGGCUCAGAAUCAACGCUGGCGGCGUGCCUAACACAUGCAAGUCGAACGCGAAAGUCCCGCAAGGGAUAAGUAGAGUGGCAAACGGGUGAGUAACACGUGGGUGACCUGCCUUCGAGCGGGGGAUAACGUCCCGAAAGGGACGCUAAUACCGCAUAACAUCCUGCCUUUUAAGAGGUGGAGAUCAAAGCUGGGGAUCGCAAGACCUAGCACUUGAAGAGGGGCCCGCGUCCGAUUAGCUAGUUGGUGGGGUAAUGGCUCACCAAGGCAACGAUCGGUAGCCGGCCUGAGAGGGCGGACGGCCACACUGGGACUGAGACACGGCCCAGACUCCUACGGGAGGCAGCAGUGGGGAAUUGUUCGCAAUGGGCGCAAGCCUGACGACGCAACGCCGCGUGGAGGAUGAAGAUCUUCGGGUCGUAAACUCCUUUCGAUCGAGACGAAUUCCUUUGCGGUGAACAAUCGCGAAGGUUGACGGUACCGAGAGAAGAAGCCCCGGCUAACUCCGUGCCAGCAGCCGCGGUAAUACGGGGGGGGCAAGCGUUGUUCGGAAUUACUGGGCGUAAGGGCUCGUAGGCGGCCAACUAAGUCAAACGUGAAAUCCCUCGGCUUAACCGGGGAACUGCGUCUGAUACUGGAUGGCUUGAGUUUGGGAGAGGGAUGCGGAAUUCCAGGUGUAGCGGUGAAAUGCGUAGAUAUCUGGAGGAACACCGGUGGCGAAGGCGGCAUCCUGGACCAACACUGACGCUGAGGAGCGAAAGCCAGGGGAGCAAACGGGAUUAGAUACCCCCGUAGUCC
RNAcentral lists this ribosomal RNA (808 nucleotides) under uncultured bacterium. RNAcentral's name for it is "bacterial SSU rRNA". It matches the Rfam family "Bacterial small subunit ribosomal RNA", at positions 8 to 796 of the family's 1533-position model. The record is from RNAcentral.